AUCCUACGGGGCGCAGCAGUAGGGAAUCUUCGGCAAUGGGCGAAAGCCUGACCGAGCAACGCCGCGUGAAUGAAGAAGGCCUUCGGGUUGUAAAAUUCUGUUAUAAGGGAAGAAAGGUGAUAGGAGGAAAUGACUAUCAAUUGACGGUACCUUAUGAGAAAGCCACGGCUAACUACGUGCCAGCAGCCGCGGUAAUACGUAGGUGGCAAGCGUUAUCCGGAAUUACUGGGUGUAAAGGGAGUGCAGGCGGCUUGGCACGUCUGAUGUGAAAGGCUGGGGCUCAACCCCAGGACUGCAUUGGAUAC
This 305-nucleotide ribosomal RNA is filed under the name uncultured bacterium. RNAcentral describes it as "bacterial SSU rRNA". It matches the Rfam family "Bacterial small subunit ribosomal RNA", at positions 335 to 633 of the family's 1533-position model. The record is from RNAcentral.